This 275-nucleotide ribosomal RNA is filed under the name uncultured bacterium. RNAcentral describes it as "partial 16S ribosomal RNA". It matches the Rfam family "Archaeal small subunit ribosomal RNA", at positions 473 to 747 of the family's 1478-position model. The record is from RNAcentral.
AUACCGGCGGCCCGAGUGGUGGCCGCUAUUAUUGGGCCUAAAGCGUCCGUAGCCGGGCCCGUAAGUCCCUGGCGAAAUCCCACGGCUCAACCGUGGGGCUUGCUGGGGAUACUGCGGGCCUUGGGACCGGGAGAGGCGGGGGGUACCCCUGGGGUAGGGGUGAAAUCCUAUAAUCCCAGGGGGACCGCCAGUGGCGAAGGCGCCCCGCUGGAACGGGUCCGACGGUGAGGGACGAAGGCCAGGGGAGCGAACCGGAUUAGAAACCCCUGUAGUCC